This 759-nucleotide ribosomal RNA is filed under the name uncultured Neisseriaceae bacterium. RNAcentral's name for it is "bacterial SSU rRNA". It matches the Rfam family "Bacterial small subunit ribosomal RNA", at positions 28 to 776 of the family's 1533-position model. Lineage: Bacteria; Pseudomonadati; Pseudomonadota; Betaproteobacteria; Neisseriales; Neisseriaceae. The record is from RNAcentral.
AUUGAACGCUGGCGGCAUGCUUUACACAUGCAAGUCGGACGGCAGCAUAAAAGAGCUUGCUCUUUUGAUGGCGAGUGGCGAACGGGUGAGUAAUGCAUCGGAACGUACCGAGUAGUGGGGGAUAACUGUCCGAAAGGAUGGCUAAUACCGCAUAUUCUCUGAGGAGGAAAGCAGGGGACCUUAGGGCCUUGCGCUAUUUGAGCGGCCGAUGUCUGAUUAGCUAGUUGGUGGGGUAAGAGCCCACCAAGGCGACGAUCAGUAGCGGGUCUGAGAGGAUAAUCCGCCACACUGGGACUGAGACACGGCCCAGACUCCUACGGGAGGCAGCAGUGGGGAAUUUUGGACAAUGGGCGCAAGCCUGAUCCAGCCAUGCCGCGUGUAUGAAGAAGGCCUUCGGGUUGUAAAGUACUUUUGUCAGGGAAGAAAAGCCUGAGGAUAACACCCUCAGGUCAUGACGGUACCUGAAGAAUAAGCACCGGCUAACUACGUGCCAGCAGCCGCGGUAAUACGUAGGGUGCGAGCGUUAAUCGGAAUUACUGGGCGUAAAGCGAGCGCAGACGGUUAUUUAAGCAAGAUGUGAAAGCCCCGGGCUCAACCUGGGAACUGCGUUUUGAACUGGGUAACUAGAGUGUGUCAGAGGGGGGUAGAAUUCCACGUGUAGCAGUGAAAUGCGUAGAGAUGUGGAGGAAUACCGAUGGCGAAGGCAGCCCCCUGGGAUAACACUGACGUUCAUGCUCGAAAGCGUGGGUAGCAAACAGG